Long non-coding RNA from Polyodon spathula (Mississippi paddlefish), 1440 nucleotides. RefSeq lists it as uncharacterized. Lineage: Eukaryota; Metazoa; Chordata; Actinopteri; Acipenseriformes; Polyodontidae. The record is from RefSeq and is a predicted model, not a curated record. The transcript has 4 exons.
UUCUGUUACUAGUUUGAAAAAGGUGAAAUAUUAAAUUUAAAGUUUUAUACGUAAAAUGUUUAUUUUUAUUUGUUGCCCCUUAGAAAAAAUAAGCUGGCUAUAACGGUUCUGUCGCUGCGUUAAAAAGAUGGGAAAUCGACCCUUUGAAUAAUCUACAAGGUUACUGUUUUAGUUUACAAAUUUCUUCUUAAAACUAUGGGGUGUUUGGUAUCGUUAAACAGCUUUUAUUAUUAUUAUUAAUAUUAUUAUAAAAAAGAAACAAUUAUAUUGUAUGGCUCACUACUUAAUAUAUUUAAAAAAAAACACACACGCUUAAAACAAAGGCUUUUUUUUUUUUUUAUUGGCCCAGCAGGAAGCAGGGGUGGGGCUUAAGGUCCAACCCUGAAUAGAUCCUUUAUAAGCAGCACAUUAAAUGUGUCUAACCAGUACCGUCUUUUCGUUUCAACAAUGAGCUGCGAUUCAAGGGGAUUGAAUGUCAUGGCCGAAAAUACAGAAUACCUGAUGACCCCUGAAGAAGAGGAUUACUACAUAAAGGCUCUUGAUUAUGAUAUGUUUCCCAUUGAUACAACCAUUUCUCAAUUAAACAAUAAACCCUCUAUUCCUAAUAUACAAACAGUUAAGGCGCAAGUCCUUCAACCCAAAGAAGGUCGGGCAUAUGAUCGAGAUAUCGAGGCUUUGUAAUCCUACUGCAUUCUACACGCCUGAAGGAUGCUUCCCCAUACCAGCAACCAACGCUUUUGCCCCUAGGAAGAAACAGCGGCUGUUGAAAUCGACAUACCCCCCUUCGGCUGAGAGGGUUGUGAACAAUAAGAGGGUCAUUCACAGGAAGGAUGAUGUCAAGAGACAUUUAAUGUAUUCUGAGGAAAUUAGUCCCCCCCCAGACGUCUACAGUAUCCACUCAAACGGUUCCUAACCAGUCUGUCUAUCGCUUAACCCUUCUUAAAGUGUUGUUACAGCAGGUUGUUGCUAACAUAGAACAAACCCUUAAGGUUUUGAGGGCUGCUGGUAUUUGAACUUUUUUUUUUUUUUUUUUAAAUGGAUAAGUCUAAAAAGCAUACCUGUAAGAAAAGGCAUAGUGAAAUUGAUGUACAUGGAAUAAAUAAUCUUAAAAAGAUUCCUUCUAAUACUACCCUGGUUGUUUCUGGUAAAUCCCCAGAGAGCUUACUUAAAGACUCUAAUGUAUCAGCUACUGGACCAAUGCCGCAACCCCUCAAAACGACACCUCCGCCUCUAAGCGAUGGCGAAAAUUUGGAUGCUCUAAAUAACCUGUUAAAUGAUUUAAAUCAUGUUGAUUGUAAUCUUGAGAUCCUAGAGGGAAUGGUGUCAGAUACGUGUAAAGCACUGACAAGCCCUGUUCAUGAUAGGAUAUCCCAGAAUCCUACUGAGGCCCCUGAAAGGGUUACUAAUUUUGAUGUAAUGCAUCAGAUGAUUAAUCUUGAU